This 369-nucleotide unclassified non-coding RNA is filed under the name fungal sp. Its description in RNAcentral is "partial internal transcribed spacer region". The stretch from base 1 to 46 matches the Rfam family "Eukaryotic small subunit ribosomal RNA", at positions 1786 to 1831 of the family's 1831-position model. Lineage: Eukaryota; Fungi. The record is from RNAcentral.
AAGUCGUAACAAGGUUUCCGUAGGUGAACCUGCGGAAGGAUCAUUACCAAAAACAAAAACCCAUUGAUACGUGUUGACAGCGAGUGCCGGUGUGCGUGCGUGCUCAAUGCUUGCAUGCAUGCCGGUACACGUUGGGACGCGUGUUGAUGCGAGUUUUACACCCCUUGUGUGAACCAUGGAUGUCAAUGUGCACACGCACAACCGUCGCGCCAACAGCUCUUGGGCGGUUGCUGCACGGCUGUGCUGUGCACAUGAUCAACACCCCAACAACAACCAACAAGGUCAACCUCUUGGACUAAACAUUUUUUGUUUUUUCACUGAAAAAACAUCCAUAAAAUACAACUUUUAACAACGGAUCUCUAGGCUCUC